CUCUGGAAAAUAGACAACUGCCCAGCCCCAACUCUCGCCUAUCCUGAUAUCAGAAUAAAAGAAGUAAUAGAAGCUUGCCAAAAAUUGACACACCAUUCUCUCACAUGGGGCCUUCAUUGGAACAUAAUUGGAAGUCUUUCUUGGCACAUUUGGUCUGAAAGAAACAGAAAGUUGCGUCAACAUACUCUCAGGCCCCCUGAAGCAAUAUUUCGGGAAAUCAUUAGGGACACCAGCCUUUCUUUAAGAUCAGAUAUCUUCAAGACUGUGGUUUACAAAUGGAGAGAGCCACCAUGCAAGUUUGGUUGACAAACCUCCUGAGGCUUAGUUACUUGAUCACUAAGAAUGCAAGCUAUAGAGAAGAUGACCGAUUAAGUGGGAAACCACUCAAUCACUACACUACAUUUUCUUUCUAUUUGUACUUUCAGGGCACCGCCCUUCAUUAUUAUUAAUGUACAUCUGCAUUAAAUAAAAUUAAUUUUUGCAAAAAGAUCUCACCUGCAUUAAAUAAAAUUUACCAUUUACGAAAAGAGAAUCCUAUAUUGAAUGUCAGUAUUAACUUUAGUGACUAAUAAAGGAGGGAAGGAGGGGAUUGUGCAAUGUUGGAAGUCAAUGAAGAAAAUAGCAGUGCAUUCUUCUCAAAAUCAGCUGAGGGGAUUGUGCAACUGAACGAGGUGCUGGGCUUUGGUACAGGGAAGCUCCCACUGAAUUACCUAGGAAUUCCAAUAUCAGGUGAGAGCAAGGUUUUUGAUUUGUCGCAUAUGCGCGCAUAUGCGAGCGCAUAUGCGAGCGCAUAUGCGAGCGCAUAUGCGAGCGCAUAUGCGACCAGGCGGUGACCCCCCAUCGCAUAUUUUUGGGUUUAGCCGGAUCCGGGUCGGAUCCAGAUAAACCCGAUCCGUUAACCCUAUUAAAUUAAAAAAACUUUAAUAGAAUUGUAUUAUUCUAUUAAAACUUAAGGACCUUACUAAGUGUUUGCAUUACACUUGUACUUUGAUGUUUGAAAGUUGAAACUAAUAGUUUUGUUGUUUUGUAUGUUUCUUUAAGUUUUUGUGAUUUUAAGAGUUUAAGUAUCAUUAGUCACUAUAUUAUUUCAUUUAUGAUUUUUAUUAUGACUUAUAAUAUCAGGGAUUUAUUUAAAAUAUGGAAAAUACAGGGGGUAUAUUGAAAAAAAAAAAAAAAAAAAAAAAAAUAACAUGUCGCAUAUUUGACCGCAUAUGCAACCAGGCGGUCACAUAUGCGGUAGGCGGUCCCAGGCAUCGCCUGGUCGCCUGGCCGCGUCAAAAAGCUUGGGUGAGAGGAAGAACAUAGCUCAAUGCCACAAACUUAUUGAAACUCGGGAAGGCACCCUCUCAAGGUGGAAGGGUAAGUGUUUAUCCUAUAUUAUUAUAGUAACAGGGUUCAGCUGGUCAAUUGGAUUUUUGAAGGGGUCUUAAUAUACAUACUGGUCACUGGAUCAAUGGAACUGUGUUACCAAGUGGUGUAAUCACAAAGGUGAGAUAGCUUGCUUAUAAAUUCAUCUGAGAAGGAAGACAUACAUCCCUCUUGCGCAAUAUGGCACCUCAACUGCAAAAGAAGAACUGGAAAAAGCUAUGCAAUCUCUAGAAUCCUCACCAAUAUCCCUACCAAUGCAAACAAACUUCAUUAGGAAAAGAAAGGGCCUAAGAACACUGCUUGAAAUGGAAGAAGCUGAUAUCAAACAGAAGAGCAAAACUCAAUGGCUAAAAUUAGGGGACUCAAACACUAGGUUCUUUAGCUAGACAUGUAUAUUGGACAGAUUCGGCUCGGAUAUCUUGGUAAUAUCUGGAUAGGAAAAUUCGAUUCCGAAU
This 1823-nucleotide long non-coding RNA is filed under the name Zostera marina. RNAcentral describes it as "long non-coding RNA (ZMAR_LNC001265)". Lineage: Eukaryota; Viridiplantae; Streptophyta; Magnoliopsida; Alismatales; Zosteraceae. The record is from RNAcentral.